AUCCAGCUGACAAGUCUCAAAUAGGAUGAAAUACGCGUCCUGGAC
Molecule: non-coding RNA, 45 nt
Organism: Schistosoma curassoni
Lineage: Eukaryota; Metazoa; Platyhelminthes; Trematoda; Strigeidida; Schistosomatidae
Source: Rfam